GACGAACGCUGGCGGCGUGCUUAACACAUGCAAGUCGAACGGAAAGGCCCUGCUGUUGUGGGGUGCUCGAGUGGCGAACGGGUGAGUAACCCGUGAGUAACCUGCCCUUGACUUUGGGAUAACUUCAGGAAACUGGGGCUAAUACCGGAUAGGAGCUCCUGCUGCAUGGUGGGGGUUGGAAAGUUUCGGCGGUUGGGGAUGGACUCGCGGCUUAUCGGCUUGUUGGUGGGGUAGUGGCUUACCAAGGCUUUGACGGGUAGCCGGCAUGAGAGGGUGACCGGCCACAUUGGGACUGAGGUACGGCCCAGACUGCUACGGGAGGCAGCAGUGGGGAAUAUUGCACAAUGAGCGGAAGCCUGAUGCAGAAACGCCGCGUGCGGGAUGACGGCCUUCGGGUUGUAAACAGCUUUCGCCUGUGACGAAGCGUGAGUGACGGUAAUGGGUAAAGAAGCACCGGCUAACUACGUG
RNAcentral lists this ribosomal RNA (468 nucleotides) under uncultured bacterium. RNAcentral describes it as "partial 16S ribosomal RNA". It matches the Rfam family "Bacterial small subunit ribosomal RNA", at positions 28 to 507 of the family's 1533-position model. The record is from RNAcentral.